RNAcentral lists this ribosomal RNA (500 nucleotides) under uncultured bacterium. Its description in RNAcentral is "partial 16S ribosomal RNA". It matches the Rfam family "Bacterial small subunit ribosomal RNA", at positions 30 to 523 of the family's 1533-position model. The record is from RNAcentral.
AUUGAACGCUGGCGGCAUGCCUUACACAUGCAAGUCGAACGGCAGCACGGGAGCAAUCCUGGUGGCGAGUGGCGAACGGGUGAGUAAAGUAUCGGAACGUGCCCAGUCGUGGGGGAUAACGUAGCGAAAGUUACGCUAAUACCGCAUACGAUCUAUGGAUGAAAGCGGGGGAUCGCAAGACCUCGCGCGAUUGGAGCGGCCGAUAUCAGAUUAGGUAGUUGGUGGGGUAAGGGCUCACCAAGCCGACGAUCUGUAGCUGGUCUGAGAGGACGACCAGACACACGGGGACUGGGACCCGGCCCAGACUCCUACGGGAGGCAGCAGUGGGGAAUUUUGGACAAUGGGCGCAAGCCUGAUCCAGCAAUGCCGCGUGCAGGAUGAAGGCCUUCGGGUUGUAAACUGCUUUUGUACGGAACGAAAAGGUUUGGCUUAAUACGUUGAACUCAUGACGGUACCGUAAGAAUAAGCACCGGCUAACUACGUGCCAGCCGCCGCCGUAA